UACGGAGGGUGCAAGCGUUGCUCGGAAUUAUUUGGGCGUAAAGGGUAGGUAGGUGGUCUCAUUUGUCUGGGGUGAAAGCCUUGAGCUUAACUCAAGAAGUGCCCCAGAGACGGUGAGACUGGAGUUCUGGAGAGGGUCGUGGAAUUCCCGGUGUAGCGGUGAAAUGCGUAGAGAUCGGGAGGAACACCAGAGGCGAAGGCGGCGACCUGGACAGAUACUGACACUCAACUACGAAAGCGUGGGGAGCAAACAGG
RNAcentral lists this ribosomal RNA (254 nucleotides) under uncultured bacterium. RNAcentral describes it as "partial 16S ribosomal RNA". It matches the Rfam family "Bacterial small subunit ribosomal RNA", at positions 524 to 776 of the family's 1533-position model. The record is from RNAcentral.